This 443-nucleotide ribosomal RNA is filed under the name uncultured bacterium. RNAcentral describes it as "partial 16S ribosomal RNA". It matches the Rfam family "Bacterial small subunit ribosomal RNA", at positions 338 to 795 of the family's 1533-position model. The record is from RNAcentral.
CCUACGGGUGGCAGCAGUGGGGAAUAUUGGGCAAUGGGCGCAAGCCUGACCCAGCAACGCCGCGUGAAGGAAGAAGGCUUUCGGGUUGUAAACUUCUUUUAUCAGGGACGAAGCAAGUGACGGUACCUGAUGAAUAAGCCACGGCUAACUACGAGCCAGCAGCCGCGGGAAUACGUGGGUGGCAAGCGUUAUCCGGAUUUACUGGGUGUAAAGGGCGUGUAGGCGGGAGGGCCAGUCAGAUGGUAAAACUAUGGGCUUAACCCAUAGCGUGCAUUUGAAACUGGUCUUCUUGAGUGCUGGAGAGGCAAGCGGAAUGCCGGGUGUAGCGGUGAAAUGCGUAGAUAUACGGAGGAACACCGGUGGCGAAGGCAGAUUGCUGGACAGUAACUGACGCUGAGGCGCGAAAGCGUGGGGAGCGAACAGGAUUAGAUACCCUUGUAGUC